CCCUUAGACGUCCUGGGCCGCACGCGUGCUACACUGACGCCUACAGCGAGUACUUCCCAGCCCCGAGAGGUGGCUGGUAAUCAGCAAUAGGCGUCGUGAUGGGGAUAGAUCUUUGGAAUUAUGGAUCUUGAACGAGGAAUGCCUAGUAAGCGCAGGUCAUUAGCCUGCGCUGAUUAAGUCCCUGCCCUUUGUACACACCGCCCGUCGCUCCUACCGAUUUCGAGUGGUCCGGUGAAUCUUUCGGACUGCGCGCGGCCUCGUGCCGUGUCGCGGAAAGUCAGGUAAACCUUAUCACUUAGAGGAAGGAGAAGUCGUAACA
RNAcentral lists this ribosomal RNA (319 nucleotides) under uncultured eukaryote. Its description in RNAcentral is "partial 18S ribosomal RNA". It matches the Rfam family "Eukaryotic small subunit ribosomal RNA", at positions 1470 to 1796 of the family's 1831-position model. The record is from RNAcentral.